Molecule: long non-coding RNA, 3778 nt
Organism: Homo sapiens (human)
Lineage: Eukaryota; Metazoa; Chordata; Mammalia; Primates; Hominidae
Exons: 3
Source: RefSeq, a predicted model, not a curated record
AGUUCUGCUUCUGAAGCUGGAAGGGGCUUUUCGGUUGUAACCCUUGGGUUAGUUUCAGUUACUUCUUUGCUAGGUUGAGGAAAGGGUGGAAGCGCCUCCUGCAGCCACGAAUAUCCUCCAGUGCCUGAGAGAAAACGGCCUAAUCGAAAACGUCCGCGGCAUACAUCCAUUCUUAAAACUUGAGUGGCUGCUUUUCUGGGUGGAAAAGAGCGGUAUCAGACAGGGUGAGCAGUCGGGGAACGGAUGAACAAAGACUUGCACCGUGGCCCUGAUGCCUUUGUUCCGAGUUCUAUUCAGUUGUACUUGUGCGUUGUUACAGGACUUUAGAAUGCAGCCCUGCCCCCCAACCCCCACCUCCCAGGGCCGACCUGUGCUCCUAGGAAGGCAAACCUCCCAGGAAUAUAUUCUGCAUAACUAUACAAAUAGGCCUUUAUUCAAGGCUUUUGGAUUAUGACAAAGAUUACCCUCAGGAGUAGUAAGAUUCUACUAGCAGGAUAAUAGAAAGGAUUAAGGCUCCCCUCCAAAGAAAAUUUUUUUAAGUUAGAAACGGAGGCGAGCCGCAGUGGGUCAUGCCUGUAAUUUCAAUGCUUUGGAAGGCCGAGGUGGGAGGAUAGGAUAGCUUGAGGCUAGGAGUUCGAGACCAGCCUGGGCAACAUGGGGAGACCCCCCCCCAUCCCUCCAAAAAAGAAAAGAAAACUGGAAAGCCUUAAAGAAACCUUUCAAACUUUAGUGUGUAUCAGAAUUACCUGAAAGGUUUGUUAAAACAGAUUGCUGGGCCAUACCCCCAGAAUUCUCUGACUGGGCUAUCGGAAAUAAUGCCUGAGAAUGUGCAUAUCUAAUAAGUUCCUAGUUCCACUUUAGGACCCUAGAAGGUUAGUAUCUUUCCUCUCUACCAGGCUUAUCUUAGGAUGAACCGUUCGGGGUUUGCUGAUGUGAAGCUAAAACAAAAAUAUUCUUUAAAAGGAGGGAUGUCUUAUUCAGUCCAUAAGAUCAUCUAAUGUAUUAAGCUGGCUUGGGGGAUGAAUCGGGUGUUUCAUUCAUUCAUUUGACAGGUAAGCAUUGCUUACCUACUCUAUUAUGACGGGGUCUGUGCUGACUCCGAAUAUUCGGUGGGAUGCAAAAUAGUUAAGUGCUCUUGUAGAGUUUACAGAUUAGCGGAAAACAGACAAAUUGUGUUAAGAGCAAUAGAAAGAAGAGAGCGGAGGACUCUGAGAAAUGAAGGCGAGGAGUGGGAGAAUGAGAGGAAGGUGGAAGGCAGGUAAGGAGUCUGACCAGCUGGUAUUUAAAAGCUAAGAUGGGGGGAAGAGUCUCCCAGGAGAGUGAACAGCAAGUGUCAAGGACCUGAGGCAGGAACAAGCUUGGCUUCUUCCACAAAUUGAAAGAAGAUCCAUAUGAAAGAGUCAGAGAAGAUGCAAUGGGAGAUGAAGACUGAGAGAUAAGGAAGAGUGAAACAGUGCAAGAAUUUGUAGACUGCUCUAAGCAUUUUAAAGUUUAUCUUAAAAGCAGCUUGAUAAAUUAGAUUUAUGGUAAUUAGUUUAAAAAUAAAAAUAAAGCAACUUGAAAGGAUUUAGGCAAGAAAAAGUUGUGUCUGCUUUGUAGAGAAUGGCUCCAGCAGAGUCCAGAUUGAAUCAUACAUUGUAUGAUAUUCUGUGUUCCGGAGUUCGCAGAUAGAAGUAUGUGAGGGCCAGCAUCCAAAUGGAAUCAGUAACAAUGCCUGGAUUUUAUUCAGAUGCUGUGUACCCAGCCAAAAGACUACAUUUCUCAAUCUCCAUUGUAGCUGGAUGUGGCUGUGUGAUCAAGUUAUGACCAAUGAGAUAUAAGUAGAAGUAGCUUGGCCAGACACAGUGGCUCACACCUGUAAUCCCAGCCCUUUGGGAGGCCAAAGCAGGAGGAUCACUUGCACUCAGGAGUUGGAAACUGCAGACCAGCCUGGAGAACACAGUGACACCUUGUCUCUACACAAAAUGAAAAAGUUAGCAGGGUAUGGUGGCAUGUGCCUGUGGUCCCAGCUACUUCCAGCUACUUGGGAGGCUAAAAUGGAAGGAUCGCUUGAGCCUGGGAGAUUGAGGCCUCAGUGAGCCAUGAUCAUGCCACUGUACUCCAGCCUGGGUGACAAGAGCAAGACCCUGUCUCUCAAAAAAAAAAAAACGCGGCUGGGUGGAACAUCUGGAAAACAUCUUUAAAGAACGCUGACUCAAUCAGGAGGAGCACCAUUUUGUUUCUUGCCCUCUGCCCUUCCUGCCUGAAACAGGCAUUGCCAUUCUCUUCAAAACAUAUUUGAAAAAUGUCCAGGCUUCUCAUCUCUGUGUAAAACUGUUCAGUUUGUUCCAGUGUGACGAGAAGAAAUUGGACUGAGCAUACUUUUUUGUGAGACAUCCAUUUUCUUCCUUUGAUGAAUUUGACAACUUGUGACAAUUCUCACAUUUUGGAACAAGUCUCCUAAUUAUAGAAGAAGCUAAUAAUGAUAAUAUAAGAAAUUAUAAAUUAUUUGACUGUUUUCAAUUUAUCCAAAAGGAAGUUUAUCAAACUUUCUCCUCCUACUUUCUGCUCCACCCCACCCCUCAGCCCCGAUGCACACGCUGUGCCGUCACAGCACUUAUGCCUAGAGAAUUAUGAUCCUUAAAUAGCAGUCAACUCUUCUUAAAUAGCAGUCAGUUGUUCUAGCAGUGUAUCAGUUAGACAUUCUAGAAUAUUUCACAAAAUAAGAAUUUUGCAGAAGGAACAUUAUAGCUCCCUAGGUCUAGCAAAUGAGGGAACUAGGGUACAGAGAAAUUAAGUGACUUAAGAUCUCACAACAAACUAGUGGAGUACUUCUACUUAAAUAUAUCUCUAGAUACUCAUAGAAGGUAAAAGCUACAUUGAAAAUUCACACAACUCUUCUGGAAAGUGGCAAAUUCAAUGAUGCUGUAAAGUCUGGCAUAAUAUUCUAGUGGUCAAGACACUUUGGGUAGUAAAUGAGAGAGGCCAAAUUCAAAUCAGGCUAAGAAUAAAAAGAAAUGUUUUCUUUCAAGUGGGUGGAGCUCAAGUAAGUGUAAAUUCCAGGGGAUAAAUUGGAUUCAGGCAUAGCUGGAUGCAAAGGCUCAAAAAUGUCAUCAGAAUCUGCCUCUUUUUCUCUCUUGGUGUUGCUUGCCACUGUGUUGUCCUCAUUCUCAGGUAGCUUGACUCACACAGCUACAACAAUGGCUUAUAUCCUAAUGGUUGAUCAGCCACAGGGCAGAGUACACUUUUCCUCAGUGGUCCAAGCAAAAAUCCUGGGGCUCACUCUUACUGGCUGACUUGGAUCAGGUGUCCUUCUGGAGCACAACACAGUGACUCCAGGUGGCCAAGCUUGAAUCUCAUGCCACAUCCCUACCACCAGCUCCACUAAAAAGAACCACAUGGACAGAAGGGGAGGAGUGGUUACAAAGGGAAAAAUAAAUGUUUAUUACCCAGGGAGGGAUAAUGAAUGUAAGGCAAGCAAAAACGGGAAAAAAAAAAGUCCAUUAAAAAUUCAAUUUACACUAUUUACACUCACAUUGCACUGUAAACUGAUGCAAUUAAGAGUCUCAUUUCUUGCUUGGUGGUUAGGGAUUUAUAUUUCAUUAAAAAAAAUACUACCAACAUUAAGUAAGGGGAUACUUGAAGAAAACAAAGAUAUGCGAUGAAGAAAACUGGGCUUUGCAAAAAAAAAAAAAAAAAAGAUGUACUGUGAGUAUGUGUGUGUUUAUUAUAUUGUUAGUCCAUAAAUGAACACAAAGGCAAAUGAAAAAUAAAAACACUGGACAUCUGCCAAACAUUA